ACCUGGUGCUCCGUCUUCGCAGUGGCAUGCAAAUCUUCGUGAAGACCCUCAUGGUCAAGACCAUCACCCUUGAGGUGGAGAGCUCCGACACAACAGACAAUGUGAAGGCCAAGAUCCAAGACAAGGAGGGAAUCCCACCAGACCAGUAAAGGUUGAUUUUUGUCGGCAAGCAGCUGGAGGAUGGUCGCACGCAGACUACAAUAUUCAAAAGGAGUCUACCCUUCAUCUUGUCCUUCGUCUCCGUGGUGGGUUCUAAAGGAUUGGCCCCAAGCUCCCAUUAAUCUUAUGUUUUUAAGAAAUAAAUUUAAAUGUUUCUGGUUUGUGUUAUGCUACAAUCACCUUUAUAGUUAAGGCCCUGUUGAGGCCAUCUAAAUAAAUUUGGUUUGCAAUUUUAUAUUUU
Juglans microcarpa x Juglans regia is the source of this 400-nucleotide long non-coding RNA. RefSeq lists it as uncharacterized. Lineage: Eukaryota; Viridiplantae; Streptophyta; Magnoliopsida; Fagales; Juglandaceae. The transcript is spliced from 2 exons. The record is from RefSeq and is a predicted model, not a curated record.